AUACGGAGGAUCCGAGCGUUAUCCGGAUUUAUUGGGUUUAAAGGGUGCGCAGGCGGCCAUUUAAGUCAGCGGUUAAAUCGUGGGGCUCAACCCCAUUCUGCCGUUGAUACUGGGUGGCUUGAUUGCGGUCGAGGUUGGCGGAAUUCGUUGUGUAGCGGGGAAAUGCAUAGAUAUGACGAAGAACACCGAUUGCGUAGGCAGCUGACCAGACCGCAAAUGACGCUCAUGCACGAAAGUGCGGGGAUCGAACAGGAUUAGAUACCCUGGUAGUCCGCACAAUAAACGAUGAAUACUUGUUUUCGGCGAUAUAAUGUCGGAGGCAAAGCGAAAGCGAUAAGUAUUCCACCUGGGGAGUACGCCGGCAACGGUGAAACUCAAAUGAAUUGGCGGGG
This 392-nucleotide ribosomal RNA is filed under the name uncultured bacterium. RNAcentral describes it as "partial 16S ribosomal RNA". It matches the Rfam family "Bacterial small subunit ribosomal RNA", at positions 523 to 918 of the family's 1533-position model. The record is from RNAcentral.